This is a non-coding RNA of Plectropomus leopardus (leopard coralgrouper), 202 nucleotides long. The record is from RefSeq and is a predicted model, not a curated record. Lineage: Eukaryota; Metazoa; Chordata; Actinopteri; Perciformes; Serranidae.
GCACCUCCAUGUUCGGCCUCUUUGUAGAACACGGACCAUAUGUGGUGAAUAAAAACAUGACUGUCAGUUUGAGGGAUUACGCCUGGACAAAGAAAUAUUCGGUUUUGUACAUCGACAAUCCAGUUGGAACCGGUUUCAGCUUCACUGAUGAUGAUCAAGGUUUUGCUCAAAACCAGGAUGAUGUCGGCAGAGAUCUGUACAG